CCCCGCUGGAAACUUGAUUUUGCGCUUUCCAGCCUCUAGAAUUAAUAUGUGAAAAACAUUUAAAUCAGAAAGUAAAUGACAGGAUGAUUUGCAAGACACAGGGAUGUAAAAUUAAAAAGCCUCUCGAGCUCCAAAGGGGGAUGCAUCAGGACGAUAAUUCCAAGAGUUCAAUGGUGAAUUUCCUUGGCUUCCACUGAGCUACCUGUUAACUUCAACAAGCACAGUGGCCUGGAGACUACAUGAUGGUGUAUCAGUGAUGGAUUUACAACUGCAAACAUCUGAAGCAGCAGUGCCACAUCCCUGCUACCUCCCUGCUUGUGCGUGUGUCCCUACAUUAUCCAAAAUAGGGGUGGGCUAAUGACGAUUGCAGGCUAACUCCAGCCCACCACUUGCUUCUAUAAAUAAAAUCUUAUUGUACACAAACGUAGCCAUUUAUUUAA
Molecule: long non-coding RNA, 440 nt
Filed under: Pan troglodytes (chimpanzee)
Lineage: Eukaryota; Metazoa; Chordata; Mammalia; Primates; Hominidae
Description: lincRNA
Source: RNAcentral